This 74-nucleotide transfer RNA is filed under the name Candidatus Portiera aleyrodidarum (primary endosymbiont of Bemisia tabaci). RNAcentral describes it as "tRNA-His". It matches the Rfam family "tRNA". From Rfam's summary of the family: Transfer RNA (tRNA) molecules are approximately 80 nucleotides in length. The record is from RNAcentral. Lineage: Bacteria; Pseudomonadati; Pseudomonadota; Gammaproteobacteria; Johnevansiales (SeqCode); Johnevansiaceae (SeqCode).
GGUGGGUGUAGCUCAGUGGUAGAGCUCCGGAUUGUGGCUCCGUGUGUCGUGGGUUCGAUACCCAUCAUCCACCA